CGAGAGCAGAACAAACAGCGAAAGCUGCAAAACGAAAAUCAACACACCUUUUCUUCAGCCAUACUCUGAAGAGCUGAAGCUUCACAUAACAUUGUCGUUCGGCUGGAAAGAUCUCCAGCGGAAACAUGGGACGCAGUGCCUGAAAACCAUGCUGUCAUGUCCAGCACCCAAUCUGAGAAUCCAGUGAGAUUCGGUGUGCGACUGCGGCGUGUCUCAGUGCACAUUUACUUCUUCAAACAAAAGGACUGAAAAAGGCCCAUGAACCGUUGAGGAAAAUCACAACUGUGUUACCAUGCCGUGUAUCCAUGGCUACUUGUUACAGUCGCAGUUUCAAAUGAAAGCAGAAGUUAUUUGCAGAAUAUAGUUGAUGAAAGGCUUUAAA
Brienomyrus brachyistius is the source of this 382-nucleotide long non-coding RNA. RefSeq lists it as uncharacterized. Lineage: Eukaryota; Metazoa; Chordata; Actinopteri; Osteoglossiformes; Mormyridae. The transcript is spliced from 2 exons. The record is from RefSeq and is a predicted model, not a curated record.